UGAAAUAUUUAAUGUCAAUUUCUAAUGAUGGAUAUAUAUGUAUGAAAACUUUAAUAUAAGGUCUAUGUACAUACAGAAAAAAGAAUUGGUUUUUCCCAAAGAUACAGAAC
Molecule: long non-coding RNA, 110 nt
Organism: Octopus sinensis (East Asian common octopus)
Lineage: Eukaryota; Metazoa; Mollusca; Cephalopoda; Octopoda; Octopodidae
Exons: 3
Source: RefSeq, a predicted model, not a curated record